UACGAAGGGGGCUAGCGUUGCUCGGAAUCACUGGGCGUAAAGCGCACGUAGGCGGAUCUUUAAGUCAGGGGUGAAAUCCUGGAGCUCAACUCCAGAACUGCCUUUGAUACUGGGGAUCUCGCAGUCCGGAAGAGGUGAGUGGAACUGCGAGUGUAGAGGUGAAAUUCGUAGAUAUUCGCAAGAACACCAGUGGCGAAGGCGGACUCACUGGUCCGGUUCUGGACGCUGAGCGCGAAAGCGUGGGGAGCAAACAGG
Molecule: ribosomal RNA, 255 nt
Filed under: uncultured bacterium
Lineage: Bacteria
Description: partial 16S ribosomal RNA
Rfam family: Bacterial small subunit ribosomal RNA
Source: RNAcentral